CGGUGAGUAACCUGCCUCUAAGAGGGGAAUAACAUUCUGAAAAGAAUGCUAAUACCGCAUAACAUAUAUUUAUCGCAUGGUAGAUAUAUCAAAGAUUUAUCGCUUAGAGAUGGACUCGCGUCCGAUUAGUUAGUUGGUGAGGUAACGGCUCACCAAGACUGCGAUCGGUAGCCGGACUGAGAGGUUGAACGGCCACAUUGGGACUGAGACACGGCCCAG
Molecule: ribosomal RNA, 219 nt
Filed under: uncultured bacterium
Lineage: Bacteria
Description: partial 16S ribosomal RNA
Rfam family: Bacterial small subunit ribosomal RNA
Source: RNAcentral